GAGAUGCGAUAAGUCAUGUGAAUUGCAGAAUUCAGUGAAUCAUCGAAUCUUUGAACGCACCUUGUGCCUUUUGGUAUUCCGAAAGGCCUGCAUGUUUGAGUGUCAUGAAAUCUCAAUCCCCCCGGGUUUUCUGAACCCGAGGUGGACUUGGACAUGGGUGUCUGCCGUCUCCUACGGCUCGCCUUAAAUGACUCAGUGGGAUCUUCAGCAUCCGUGGCAGACGUAAUAAGUUUCGUCUCGUCCCUUCCUGUGAGGACCGCUCAUAACCUGCCAUCGCGCACCACUUUUGACUCUGAGCUCAAAUGAGGUAGGACUACCCGCUGAUCUUAA
Molecule: unclassified non-coding RNA, 330 nt
Filed under: uncultured Tremellaceae
Lineage: Eukaryota; Fungi; Basidiomycota; Tremellomycetes; Tremellales; Tremellaceae
Description: sequence contains ITS1
Rfam family: 5.8S ribosomal RNA (bases 1-105)
Source: RNAcentral